UACAGAGGUCUCAAGCGUUGUUCGGAUUCAUUGGGCGUAAAGGGUGCGUAGGCGGUGCGGUAAGUCGGGUGUGAAAUCUUGGAGCUUAACUCCGAAACUGCAUUCGAUACUGCCGUGCUUGAGGACUGGAGAGGAGACUGGAAUUUACGGUGUAGCGGUGAAAUGCGUAGAGAUCAUGAGGAAGACCAGUGGCGAAGGCGGGUCUCUGGACAGUUCCUGACACUGAGACACGAAGGCCAGGGGAGCAAACGGG
This 253-nucleotide ribosomal RNA is filed under the name uncultured bacterium. RNAcentral describes it as "partial 16S ribosomal RNA". It matches the Rfam family "Bacterial small subunit ribosomal RNA", at positions 524 to 776 of the family's 1533-position model. The record is from RNAcentral.